This 253-nucleotide ribosomal RNA is filed under the name uncultured bacterium. RNAcentral describes it as "partial 16S ribosomal RNA". It matches the Rfam family "Bacterial small subunit ribosomal RNA", at positions 524 to 776 of the family's 1533-position model. The record is from RNAcentral.
UACGGGGGGGGCAAGCGUUGUUCGGAAUUACUGGGCGUAAAGGGCGCGUAGGCGGCCUUCUAAGUCAGACGUGAAAUCCCUCGGCUCAACCGAGGAACUGCGUCUGAUACUGGAAGGCUUGAAUCCGGGAGAGGGAUGUGGAAUUCCAGGUGUAGCGGUGAAAUGCGCAGAUAUCAGGAGGAACACCAAUGGCGAAGGCAGCUCGCUGGGACGUGACUGACGCUGAGACGCGAAAGCGUGGGGAGCAAACAGG